Molecule: ribosomal RNA, 380 nt
Filed under: uncultured eukaryote
Lineage: Eukaryota
Description: partial 18S ribosomal RNA
Rfam family: Eukaryotic small subunit ribosomal RNA
Source: RNAcentral
CAAUAGCGUAUAUUAAAGUUGUUGCAGUUAAAAAGCUCGUAGUUGGAUUUGUGGCGUACGGUGUGUUCCGGGCACUUGUUGUCUGAGUAACCUGCUGUUGCCAUCCUUGGGUGGAACCUGUGUGGCAUUAGGUUGUCGUGCAGGGGAUGCCCAUCAUUUACUGUGAAAAAAUUAGAGUGUUCAAAGCAGGCUCAUGCCGUUGAAUAUAUUAGCAUGGAAUAAUGAGAUAGGACUUUUUUGCUAUUUUGUUGGUUUGCGCAAAGAGGUAAUGAUUAAUAGGGACAGUUGGGGGUAUUCGUAUUCCAUUGUCAGAGGUGAAAUUCUUGGAUUUUUGGAAGACGAACUACUGCGAAAGCAUUUACCAAGGAUGUUUUCAUUAA